RNAcentral lists this ribosomal RNA (492 nucleotides) under uncultured bacterium. Its description in RNAcentral is "partial 16S ribosomal RNA". It matches the Rfam family "Bacterial small subunit ribosomal RNA", at positions 29 to 507 of the family's 1533-position model. The record is from RNAcentral.
AGUGAACGCUGGCGGUAGGCCUAACACAUGCAAGUCGAACGGCAGCACAGUAAGAGCUUGCUCUUACGGGUGGCGAGUGGCGGACGAGUGAGGAAUACAUCGGAAUCUACUUUUUCGUGGGGGAUAACGUAGGGAAACUUACGCUAAUACCGCAUACGACCUACGGGUGAAAGCAGGGGAUCUUCGGACCUUGCGCGAUUGAAUGAGCCGAUGUCGGAUUAGCUAGUUGGCGGGGUAAAGGCCCACCAAGGCGACGAUCCGUAGCUGGUCUGAGAGGAUGAUCAGCCACACUGGAACUGAGACACGGUCCAGACUCCUACGGGAGGCAGCAGUGGGGAAUAUUGGACAAUGGGCGCAAGCCUGAUCCAGCCCUACCGCGUGGGUGAAGAAGGCCUUCGGGUUGUAAAGCCCUUUUGUUGGGAAAGAAAAGCAGCAGGUUAAUACCCCGCUGUUCUGACGGUACCCAAAGAAUAAGCACCGGCUAACUUCGUG